GAAAUGCGAUAAGUAAUGUGAAUUGCAGAAUUCAGUGAAUCAUCGAAUCUUUGAACGCACCUUGCGCUCCUUGGUAUUCCUUGGAGCAUGCCUGUUUGAGUAUCAUGAAAUCUUCAAAGUAAAUCUUUUGUUAACUCAAUUGGUUUAUACUUUGGUAUUGGAGGUCUUUGCAGCUUCACACCUGCUCCUCUUUGUUCAUUAGCUGGAUCUCAGUGUUAUGCUUGGUUCCACUCGGCGUGAUAAGUUAUCUAUCGCUGAGGACACUGUAAAAGGUGGCCAAGGUAAAUGCAGAUGAACCGCUUCUAAUAGUCCAUUGACUUGGACAAUACUUUUAUGAUCUGAUCUCAAAUCAGGUAUGACUACCCGCUGAACUUAAGC
This 378-nucleotide unclassified non-coding RNA is filed under the name plant metagenome. RNAcentral's name for it is "partial contains 5.8S ribosomal RNA, internal transcribed spacer 2, and large subunit ribosomal RNA". The stretch from base 1 to 105 matches the Rfam family "5.8S ribosomal RNA", at positions 50 to 154 of the family's 154-position model. The record is from RNAcentral.